Molecule: long non-coding RNA, 814 nt
Filed under: Aotus nancymaae (Ma's night monkey)
Lineage: Eukaryota; Metazoa; Chordata; Mammalia; Primates; Aotidae
Description: lncRNA (ENSANAG00000038584.1)
Source: RNAcentral
GGUUUGUUGUGCUUGGCAAGUGGUGAGUUACACACAUGUUUUCAAUGAGGCCCUAAAAUGUCCAGACAGAGCAUGAUGGAAGUCGGAGCACUUAUCCUGAAACGAUUAGCCCUUUUGGGAUGUUAUAUGUGACCAAGAAAGCUUCGUGGGAAUGGAGAUAAGCAUAACAAGCAAAUAACGAUUUGGUUACAUUUCUUCUUCGCCUCACUCUGUGAAACAGAGAAAGAGAGAGAGAGAAGAUUCAGAAUAAGGUCUUUGAUACGAUUCUAGCCAUUCUUACAGUGGAAUUACAGCUCUCACUUUCCUCAGUAAUGUUUAUGAACUCCGAGGACAAUGGUCUUCACCGUGUUUCAGAUCUGAUAUCGUGGCUGUAACCUCGUAGGAAGCAUCCCAGAAAAGAACGUGACUCCCUAUUACUGUGUUGGGACAGGCUGUAUCAUUUAGCGCCUUAGUCACGGGUGAGUUUCCAUGUCACAGACGUGUCCAGUGAUGUCUUUGACUUCCGUGAGACUUUGACGAUUCACUUCCACAAGAAUCACGAUGCAUCAGCUGAAUUCCCAGGACUGUGCUUGGCCCCGAGAACAUAGAGCGGAAUGACACACUGCUUCUGUCCUCAAGCAGUUUAUAAUCCAGUGGUGAGAGACUGCCGAUGCGCUGUUUGUAAAAGCCUUGUUCUGAAUAAUUCCGACUUUGAGAAAGCCACUGAAGAAUCUUCUUAUAAAAAAGAAAACCGUGCCCUCAUUUAUAUUUUAUGAUUUGUUUUCCAAAAUUGUCAUCUUAAUUUGUUGGGUUGACUUGAUAAACUGCUAAAAUA